UAGCCGUAAACGAUACUCGCUAGGUGUCGGCCACGGUGCGUCCGUUGUCGGUGCCGUAGGGAAGCCGUGAAGCGAGCCACCUGGGAAGUACGGCCGCAAGGCUGAAACUUAAAGGAAUUGGCGGGGGAGCACCACAACGGGUGGAGCUUGCGGUUUAAUUGGAUUCAACGCCGGAAAUCUUACCGGGACCGACAGCAACAUGAAGGCCAAGCUGAAGACUUUGCCGGAUUAGCUGAGAGGAGGUGCAUGGCGUAGUCGUGU
RNAcentral lists this ribosomal RNA (261 nucleotides) under uncultured archaeon. RNAcentral's name for it is "partial 16S ribosomal RNA". It matches the Rfam family "Archaeal small subunit ribosomal RNA", at positions 748 to 1009 of the family's 1478-position model. The record is from RNAcentral.